UACAGAGGUCUCAAGCGUUGUUCGGAUUCAUUGGGCGUAAAGGGUGCGUAGGCGGCGGGGCAAGUCAGGUGUGAAAUCCCGGAGCUCAACUCCGGAACUGCACUUGAUACUGCCUCGCUAGAGUACUGGAGAGGAGACUGGAAUUUACGGUGUAGCAGUGAAAUGCGUAGAUAUCGUAGGGAAGACCAGUGGCGAAGGCGAGUCUCUGGACAGUUACUGACGCUGAGGCACGAAGGCCAGGGGAGCAAACGGG
RNAcentral lists this ribosomal RNA (253 nucleotides) under uncultured bacterium. Its description in RNAcentral is "partial 16S ribosomal RNA". It matches the Rfam family "Bacterial small subunit ribosomal RNA", at positions 524 to 776 of the family's 1533-position model. The record is from RNAcentral.